Molecule: ribosomal RNA, 297 nt
Filed under: Klebsiella pneumoniae
Lineage: Bacteria; Pseudomonadati; Pseudomonadota; Gammaproteobacteria; Enterobacterales; Enterobacteriaceae
Description: partial 16S ribosomal RNA
Rfam family: Bacterial small subunit ribosomal RNA
Source: RNAcentral
UCUAGGAUUAGAUACCCUGGUAGUCCACGCCGUAAACGAUGUCGAUUUGGAGGUUGUGCCCUUGAGGCGUGGCUUCCGGAGCUAACGCGUUAAAUCGACCGCCUGGGGAGUACGGCCGCAAGGUUAAAACUCAAAUGAAUUGACGGGGGCCCGCACAAGCGGUGGAGCAUGUGGUUUAAUUCGAUGCAACGCGAAGAACCUUACCUGGUCUUGACAUCCACAGAACUUUCCAGAGAUGGAUUGGUGCCUUCGGGAACUGUGAGACAGGUGCUGCAUGGCUGUCGUCAGCUCGUGCCG